RNAcentral lists this ribosomal RNA (500 nucleotides) under uncultured bacterium. RNAcentral describes it as "partial 16S ribosomal RNA". It matches the Rfam family "Bacterial small subunit ribosomal RNA", at positions 30 to 523 of the family's 1533-position model. The record is from RNAcentral.
AUUGAACGCUGGCGGCAGGCCUAAAACGUGCAAGUCGAGCGGUAGAGAGAAGCUUGCUUCUCUUGAGAGCGGCGGACGGGUGAGUAAUGCCUAGGAAUCUGCCUGGUAGUGGGGGAUAACGUUCGGAAACGGACGCUAAUACCGCAUACGUCCUACGGGAGAAAGCAGGGGACCUUCGGGCCUUGCGCUAUCAGAUGAGCCUAGGUCGGAUUAGCUAGUUGGUGGGGUAAUGGCUCACCAAGGCGACGAUCCGUAACUGGUCUGAGAGGAUGAUCAGUCACACUGGAACUGAGACACGGUCCAGACUCCUACGGGAGGCAGCAGUGGGGAAUAUUGGACAAUGGGCGAAAGCUUGAUCCAGCCAUGCCGCGUGUGUGAAGAAGGUCUUCGGAUUGUAAAGCACUUUAAGUUGGGAGGAAGGGCAGUAAAUUAAUACUUUGCUGUUUUGACGUUACCGACAGAAUAAGCACCGGCUAACUCUGUGCCAGCAGCCGCCGUAA